UACGUAGGGUGCAAGCGUUAAUCGGAAUUACUGGGCGUAAAGCGUACGCAGGCGGUUUGCUAAGACAGGUGUGAAAUCCCCGGGCUUAACCUGGGAACUGCGCUUGUUACUGGCAAGCUAGAGUGUGGCAGAGGGGGGUAGAAUUCCAGGUGUAGCAGUGAAAUGCGUAGAUAUCUGGAGGAAUACCGAUGGCGAAGGCAGCCCCCUGGGUUAACACUGACGCUCAUGUACGAAAGCGUGGGGAGCAAACAGG
Molecule: ribosomal RNA, 253 nt
Filed under: uncultured bacterium
Lineage: Bacteria
Description: partial 16S ribosomal RNA
Rfam family: Bacterial small subunit ribosomal RNA
Source: RNAcentral